AAAAAGGCAAACCAUAGGUUUUCGUGUCCAAAUUUGACUAUCCGUCUUAUAUGAAAAUUUUUUAUAAUUCGUAUUUUCAUUGUUGUUAGAUGAUAAAACAUGAUUAAUAUUUUAUGCGUGACUUGUCUUUUUAUUUUUUUUAUAAUUUUUUUAAAUUAGAACGGUUAAACGUUGGGCACGAAACAGGGUUUGUCUUUUU
Molecule: non-coding RNA, 199 nt
Organism: Oryza glumipatula
Lineage: Eukaryota; Viridiplantae; Streptophyta; Magnoliopsida; Poales; Poaceae
Source: Rfam